RNAcentral lists this ribosomal RNA (459 nucleotides) under uncultured bacterium. Its description in RNAcentral is "partial 16S ribosomal RNA". It matches the Rfam family "Bacterial small subunit ribosomal RNA", at positions 338 to 795 of the family's 1533-position model. The record is from RNAcentral.
UCUACGGGAGGCAGCAGUGAGGAAUAUUGGUCAAUGGGCGGGAGCCUGAACCAGCCAAGCCGCGUGAGGGCAGAAGGUACAGCGUAUCGUAAACCUCUUUUGUCAGGGAACAAAGGCGGGGACUAGUCCCCGGAUGAGGGUACCUGAAGAAAAAGCAUCGGCUAACUCCGUGCCAGCAGCCGCGGUAAUACGGAGGAUGCGAGCGUUAUCCGGAUUGAUUGGGUUUAAAGGGUGCGUAGGCGGGCUGUUAAGUCAGCGGUAAAAGCCCGGGGCUCAACCCCGGCGAGCCGUUGAAACUGGCUGUCUUGAGAUGUCGAGAGGUAUGCGGAAUGCGCAGUGUAGCGGUGAAAUGCUUAGAUAUUGCGCAGAACUCCGAUUGCGAAGGCAGCAUACCGGCGGCGAUCUGACGCUGAGGCACGAAAGCGUGGGUAUCGAACAGGAUUAGAUACCCCUGUAGUC